This 553-nucleotide ribosomal RNA is filed under the name uncultured bacterium. Its description in RNAcentral is "partial 16S ribosomal RNA". It matches the Rfam family "Bacterial small subunit ribosomal RNA", at positions 355 to 900 of the family's 1533-position model. The record is from RNAcentral.
UAGGGAAUCUUCGGCAAUGGACGAAAGUCUGACCGAGCAACGCCGCGUGAGUGAAGAAGGUUUUCGGAUCGUAAAACUCUGUUGGUAGAGAAGAACGUUGGUGAGAGUGGAAAGCUCAUCAAGUGACGGUAACUACCCAGAAAGGGACGGCUAACUACGUGCCAGCAGCCGCGGUAAUACGUAGGUCCCGAGCGUUGUCCGGAUUUAUUGGGCGUAAAGCGAGCGCAGGUGGUUUAUUAAGUCUGGUGUAAAAGGCAGUGGCUCAACCAUUGUAUGCAUUGGAAACUGGUAGACUUGAGUGCAGGAGAGGAGAGUGGAGUUCCAUGUGUAGCGGUGAAAUGCGUAGAUAUAUGGAGGAACACCGGUGGCGAAAGCGGCUCUCUGGCCUGUAACUGACACUGAGGCUCGAAAGCGUGGGGAGCAAACAGGAUUAGAUACCCUGGUAGUCCACGCCGUAAACGAUGAGUGCUAGAUGUAGGGAGCUAUAAGUUCUCUGUAUCGCAGCUAACGCAAUAAGCACUCCGCCUGGGGAGUACGACCGCAAGGUUGAAAC